This 16975-nucleotide long non-coding RNA is filed under the name Homo sapiens (human). RNAcentral describes it as "HSALNT0324257". Lineage: Eukaryota; Metazoa; Chordata; Mammalia; Primates; Hominidae. The record is from RNAcentral.
AAACAGAAAUGCUGAGCCUCCCAAGCUAAAGGGAAAGUCAGCCCUGCUGAGGAGGGGGGCGGAGGAGCUCAGUCACUGAGGCUGCCACACCAGAGUCGGGGGUGAGGGAUCAAGGCGAGGCUGACAGGUGACAGGGUGAGUGGAAAAUCCUAAGAGCAAAGCUUCUCAGGGACCAGCAACCCGCGCAACACAGGUGCGACAUGAAGACAUCAUCUGUGGCAGGCUGUCGCUGUUCCAACAGUUUUAUCAUCUUACAGAAGAUCAUGGUCAGUGCCACAUCAUUUAUUUAAAAACAGCACUGCCAGAGUCCUUCAUCGAGUAUACAAUUUUUCAACAAUUUACAAAUCAUUAAUGAAAAAAAGGAUUAAGCACUAUUUGUGUGUGGGAGUUCUAUCAGUGGCAUGAUUUUUAACAUGGUGUGUGUUUAACCACACGCACAAAUGGCUAUCAUAAUUAUGUUCGCCUCUGGUUUCAAAUAAUGUAAUUCCUUGGACACUUCUUGUAAAAGUUGGUGCACUAAAUUGCUAAAUUCUUCUUUAGGCAGCGCAGAUGGACCGGAUAAGGGUCUCUCAAGCUUCAUCUGUCUCCUAUAUCCUGGCACUUACUGCCUUGGUUUGAUGGCUGUUUUUCUUUUUCCUUGGCUAGGCAAGCCAUUUUACGUUUCUCCUCCCUCCUCCUCCUCCCUCCUCCUCCUCCUCCUUGUUUUUGAGAUGGAGUUUCGCUCUUGUCGCCCAGGCUGGAGUGCAGUGGCAUGAUCUCGGCUCACUGCAACCUCUGCCUCUUGGGUUCAAGCAAUUCUCCUGCCUUAGCCUCCUGAGUGGCUGGGAUUACAGGCACCUGCCACCAAGCCCAGCUGAUUAUUGUACUUUUGGUAGAUACGGGGUUUCACCAUGUUGACCAGGCUGGCCUCGAACUCCUGGCCUCAGGUAAUCCACCCGCCUCGGCCUCCCAAAGUGCUAGAAUUACAGGCAUGAGCCACCGCACCCGGCCUUUUUUUCUUCUUUUAAUGGAAAUAAAAUCAGAGGCUUGUGGCCGCACCAGGGCCUCAAUUCUUUCAUGAUUUUGCCACCGAUGGAUGUCUAGAGUGAGCCCUCCUCUCCUCUCACCUUUCCUCUCUUCCAUUCUCUGCCCUGCAGCCUGUGUUUCCUUUUCACCUCUUUCUGUGGCCCAGUGUAAAAUACUUUUGUCUACAAAUGUUUUCCCAGAAGACCUCUCGUCUUUUUUUUUAGGAUGGUAAAGAUGAAGUUGCCUUUUAAGUGGGAAGAAUGGAACGUCUCUCUGCUUCCACCACAAACUAAAGUUAAGGUGAGUCACUGAAUGUUCGGGCAUCUACGUCAGACCUAGGAAACGGGAGAGCUGUUCACUUAAUCUCACUCCCUCUGAAAUUAGAUUCUCACUGUGGACAACUAACAUUUUCCACAGCACAGAGCGUUGAUAUUUCUCUUCUGGGGACCAUUUGUUGUUGUUGUUCUUAGAUCUCAAUCUUUCCUGGUUUUUGCUAUUUAAAGAAAUUGUCUUCUCUCAGUUGAGUUGGAAAUAAAGCUCGCAGAAAAUCACACAUAGCUGAAGCAGUGAAUACUAAACUAUAUUAAAAAUGCAAUAGCCUUGGGAUUACAUUGUGCAUAUGAAUGUCUGAAAGAUCAAAGGCAUUACGAAUUCAAAGGAAGCUCGGCCAUCACAGCAAACCACGGGAGUGAGCAAACUCAAGCAAAUUACAAAAUAGCCGAAGGUGCCUGAGGAAGAAGCGCACAUACCCACAAACCAGCCGUCAUCACACUUUUCCAUGACAUCAAUGACAUCACUUUCUCUGAGCUCCAGCUCAUCUUCAUUCCUGGGAGUAUAGUUAUACAGAGCCUGAAACCUUAAACAGGACAAGGGAAUGUGUUUAAAAACAUCUUGACACCUUCAUGAAAUAUAGAAGAUAGAACAAUAUUCAUUCUUCCUUUAACAUUCCUAUUCUUAACAACAUUCUGUUGGGUGGUACAAGCCUGGUAAGCAUGUAAAUAGCAUUCUAUUGGAUGGUACAAGCCUGGUAAGCAGGUACAUAGCAAUAUGUAGAUCUUCACAGGCAUUAGAACACUCUAACAACAUUUUGAAACUCACGAGGAAUAUCCAUGAAAAUUGUAACAUUCAUAAAUUGGAUUAAAAUAUGUCAACAUGUAUAAGUCAGACCCGCAUUUCAGUUGUCCAGCCAUCUAACGUCUAUCAUUUAGACAUUAAAUAAUAGUACAAAAUAUAAAAUAAGUGAUAUUUGUAUUAUUUAACUGUUUAAAAACAAGAAGGAAUCACAAUUUUAGCUAGCCAUAAUCAGAAGCAAAUAAUGGGGGCUUGAGAAUUGAAUUUUCAAAGGUUCUAAAUGGAGAUAGACAAAAUGUGUCAGACAUGUCUUUUUAAUCACUCUGUGUGAAUUACUAUACAAAGGAAAAUUAUUUUUUUUACUAAGAGGAAUUCUUUAGAUCAGUUUAAUGUUAUGGUUUGGAUCAGUGUUUUCUGAGGAUGUAGAAUUGGAAGAUUUGAUGUAAUUAGCCUAUGAAGUUGAGUAGAUGUAUUCUAUGUGCAGUUAUUACUGAUUCCAUUUCAAGCAGACUAUGGACAUAAGUCUCUUUUUAAAAUGAGUCCCAGAAAAAUUGUAUUUGAUUUUAAAACUCUCUCUUGAAAUAAUUUUAUAUAAAAAAGAAUUAUUGAUAGAAUGCUAUCACUUUCCUUUCCCGGCCUGAAUUCUUUGACAGCAUAUACUGUGGUGGAAAUUGAUCAAUAAUGAAUUCAGACACUGAAUUUGUGGUAAGAAAACACCAUACAUUAUAAUAAAUAGUAACAUGGGCUGGUGUUUUUGGAAAAUGAAGGCGAAAUUACUGUAGCUGAGAAGGUCAAGAAGAAUUUGAUAGGCAGUUAACAUGAAAACUUCUUCAUAAUAGUACUAAAAUAUUACCAGUACUGUGAGGGGGUUUUUAAAAAUUGGGAAUUUGUUUCUGCUGCUUUCUGUAACAGUCAUGUCAUUCUGCUAAUGUGAGAAAAUAAUUACCACUUUCUAGGGUAUUUUAGAUUUUUUCAUGCCAACUUAAAAAAGUUGAUAAUCUUGACUACCGCUCCGGAACAAGAAUGAUUUAUUUUUAAUUACUUUAUGAGUCAGAAAAUAAUAUUUUGGUAGAACAAAACUAUUCUAUCAUUUAAACUCAAAUCUUAUGUCAUUAAUAAGCAACAGUGACCUACUGGCUUCCCCCCGUUCAUCCAGCAUUUGGACUGGGGGAGCUGGAUAGAGUUGGCUUCAGAGAAUGCCUAACAACAUCCCCUAGAAAAUAUUGUUUUCCCUGGCCUGGCACCAAAGCCUGAAAUUUCAACAUUAGAGGCUUCUUCUCCUGUUAAAACUUCAUCCUUCCAGUAGACCUUACAGCCACUUAUAUCCUUUUGAGCAUGGGCUUCUGAGGCCUUUUCUUGAGAGAGGGGUUUGUGAUUAUGGGGAAGGGCAGAGAAAGGCAGCUAGCAUCCCAGAGUAGUGGCCAAAAAGACAGGCAGGUGUGGAAUACAGAAACGUCACCUGAUUUGGAUGUUUGCAUGUGGCCAGCUUUGCUAGGGGUAGUCCAUUUAUUUUGUUGCUUGUGUAAAGAAUUUGAUUUGGAGGCUGCUCAGGUGAAGGGGUGGUAUCUUUUGUGUAUCUGUGGGGAAAGUUCACGGUCCCUUUUCCAGUUUCACAUUUGAGAGAGAUGGUGGUUCCUGGGCUGCUGUUUUGAUGGAUACACACGGCAUUUCUCACUUUGGGAAAACUGAUUCUUUUAUUGAGCUUCUCAGGCUUGAACCCUGCCCAGGCUCAUCUCCACCCACUCAUGGAGACCGGUUACCUAAGGCUGCAAACCUCAGCUGCUGGAAAGAAUCUCAAGGUCUCAGAGCUAACGCAACAAAAUUGGCACAGACUCCUGCUUCAUUUUUGUCUGAUGAAAGCCAGCAUGUUUGUCCAAAUUUAUUUACCAUUCUGGUUUAAUUAGACCACAGAAACAAAAACAAAACAAAAGAAAACCCACGGAGUUUUAUGGAAACGUAAACACACCUUCAGGAAAUCCUCCUGCCUCUCCUGGCUUUCAAAGCCAGUGUUGCACAAUGGGAAAUGAAGACAAAUCCAAUGUUAAAAAAUGCUGUUGUGAAAGAUGUGUUGGUGAGGUGAGUGAUGGUGGUGGGGUAAGGAUGCCUCAAAAAGAAAGGUGUCUUUUAAACAGGAAAUGCUGAGCCAGACUGGAAGCCCUCUCGAUAACUUGCAACUUUUUCUAGAACAUAUUUCACUAAAACUCUGAAUUGUAGUGACAUAACAUUAUGUUCCUACUUUGGCUCAAAACUUAUUUUUAAAUGAAAGCAACUAAGCAACACCCUAAAAUCCCACUAAUUCAGGCUAUAAUCAAAUAUAAAUUUAAUAAACAAUGUUUUCUAAUAUACAAAUCAGGACUUUGAAAAUGUAACAUAUCUUUCAUUCAUAAACACUUUGAAAGCUGUUUAAUAUAACAUGUUGGUAAUGCAAUAAACCUAAACAGCCCUGGAAUUUAUUUUUUAUCAUGUGAUCUUAUCAUCGUUUGGGUAAAUAAGAGAACAAACAAAAGCUUUAGAAUGACAAGUCGUAUUUAGUGUUUUCCAGUUAAGCGAUCUUUUUGUUUGUUUGUUUGUUUGAGACAGGGUCUUGCUCUGUUGCCCAGGCUGGAGUGCAGGGCCAUCAUCAUGGCUUAUUGUAGCCUUGAUCUCCCUGGCCCAAGUGAUCUUCCCACCUCAGCCUACUAAGCAGCUGGGACUACAGGCGCAUGCCAUCACACCUGACUAAUUUUUUAUUUUUAUUUUUGUAGAGAUGGUGUUUUGCUAUGUUGUCCAGGCUGGUCUUGAACUCCUGGGUUUUGGCCUUCCAAAGUGCUGGGAUUUCAGGCAUAGUGACUGCACCUAACCUUCAGUGAGAUUUCAAAUGAUUAUCACUGCUAACCUGUUCUUUCCAAAAUACAGACUUUCCCGCAACAAGAACACUUUUCUGCCUGUGCUCUGUGAGAGCCAGUCUCAUCCGGAGCUGCUUUUUGCUAAGUUUCAGGUCUGUGAGGAGCAAGGAAGGACUUGAUGGUGAUAAAGGCACCAGGUCAUAUGCCAGGACCUGCCGCAAGGAGGAGGCUAUUGUUAGCCUGUUCUGCUCCAGGUGAGCAGAGUGUGGGCAGUGGGUCAGGAUCCCCAGUGUGUGCUCAGAUAUGGGGGACAAGGGGUUAGGUCCAUGAAUAAGCCUUCCCAGGGGUCUCACUCUCGACUCACAGUGUGGGCAGAGGCCAACAGGAAGCUGAUAACUCCUGAACGUCUCUCAGGGACAAAAUGGGCCCGAAAAAGAAACACACAGAGAGAAUCUUCAAGACAACGUGUGACACCUUCAGGCUGAUUUAACUCAUGUAUCAGAAAGGAGAAGGAAUUUGAAAGGAAAGUUUGAAAAGGCAUUUUCCUGGUGCUGUGGAAGUAAUCGCAUGUAACUGAAUAACAGUGAGUGUUUUAAUACUGCCCUUUUCAAAUGACCCUUCUAAGCAUGUAACUUUGGAAUGAUGGAAUGAUCGCUUUAGGUCUUUUUUACACUGAGGUCCACUUUUACCGUCUCCCAGUGGGUGUAAAAGUAAGGUUAGAACAUGUUCUGUAUGUCUUUGAAGCUCGCAGUUACUCGUUACACAGCCAGCAGAGCAGAGAGGGAGACAGAGUUAUCCAUCUUAGGAAUCACUGAAGCAUUGGGAAGUUUUCCUAGUGUGUCAAUUAAAAUCUUCUCAGAGAACUAUGGGUUCUUUUAAAAAUUAGUUUCUGGUCACUGUCAUAAAAGAUGGAGAGACUAUUACAAUUUCUCGUAAUUUAAGAGGCCUCAUGUUAGUUUGAUCUUUCACGUGCAAAGCCAUACAUCUUACAUUUUGGUACAGUUGUCCAUUUUGUGGGUCAAGGUUAGUCUCAAAUUUAGAAGAUAAGAAGAAUACUUACGGUUCCCCCCCACCUUGAAUAUUUUCAUGAGUAAACACAGGACGCUGUGGCUGAAAUGAAAUGAUUUUCAAUGUAAUCAAUGUUUAAACUGGUACUAAUUAAAAGAUAAUUUGGAUAAUGGCAUGGUACUUUUCUUGACAUUUAAUAUUUCCUGUUGUAAAAAACCAAGAGGAAGAAAAAAACCAAAUAAAAGCUUUCUGCAGGAUUAAUAAUUAAAAUAUUUAAAGGGAGCUUUAAAUUAAAGCAAAAUAAGCAAGGUCAAAUGUUUUGAACAUGUCUACAAUCUAGUCUGCUCAAGCUUUAAGGAAAAGUCAGGGUUUGGUCCCAUUGAUUUUUCAAAGGCCAGGAAUAAGGCAAGAACAUAGACGGCAAACCACUAGAAUAGGAAAUAUAGACACCUUCAUACAACCUUAUUCUCCAGCGUUUUCUCAAACAAGCAGAAAAUAAACCACAUUUAGUUUAACAGCAAAGUAUCCACACUCAUUCUUUCAAUCUUUCCUUCACAGACAACAUUUUCACAUACAGCACAGAGGAAAAUAUCAAUAGGCAGACAUCCCAUGCUACAUUUGAAUUAACAUUUUCUGUUCUCAAUGUGGAGAGAAAACAUGCAUUUUUAAAAAGAGAAAACAGAACUUUGGAAUGCAACGAACAAUAUCCGGGUAACAUGUAACAUUUUACCUUAGAAGAGAAACAUUGGUAGAAAUUUCCAGUGCACUGAACUCUCAAAAGAGUUUCUUUUCUUUUUAAACUAAGCAUCAAGACCAGUAUCUGUAAUAGAUACUUAUAAUAUUGGAAAUGACAAGCCUUAGCAUCCCAUAUACCCACAUUAAUAUUUUCAGUGAAUGAAAGUUAACAUGUUUGUUGAAUAUAUAAACUCAGUGUAAUUUAUAUUGACUACCUAAACUUUACCUUUUAGGGGAGAAAUGCAAACAAAUCAUUCAUAAUCCAUUUCAAAAGCAUUUGCUUCUAAAUGAUAGCUACAGGGUAAAAUCAGAAUUUGCAUGGCAAUUAUAUAAGUGACUGUUUGAUGACUACUGAAAUAGCUAUUAGAUCCAUGUCCUUAGACUUUGGGACCAGUUCUUAGAUUUCCAUAGUUAUGAGUGGAUUACUGAUAGGCUGAAAUCUCUUGCUGCCAAUUGUCCAUAGAAACCCCACUGAUCCAAGCUUGGAUGGAUAAUUCUGAGGUUCCUUUCAGUCUACGAGUCAAUGAUUCACCCACUUCCUAAAUUCUUUAUCCACCCCCUUUCUAUCCUACUUGUCUAUCUAGCAUAAGACUAGGUACUCACAGUACUAAAACUGUAAGCUCUGACUCGGUUAACUGGAAACCUUUAUUAACAGUGUUCUUAGAAAUUUCACUCAACAGUCUGUGGAUAGAAUAUUUAAAACUAGAGUGCGUAAGAAUUACUGCACACAAUUAUGACUUAAGAGUGAAAUAGUUUACUCCUGUAAAUCAAUAUGACUACUAAUGAUGUAUCUAUUAUUAAAAUUGGAAGAUAUUCAUAUUUUAAGAAAAAUUAUGACUAACCAGUUUUCCAACCAUCUUAAAGGUCAUUUAAUUCAAGAUAUUAUUAAAUCAAUUUAAAUAUAUAAGAUGGUAAUUGUAAGUCAUUGAUAAGCCUGUAUCAUAUUACCUAUUUCAAGUUCUCUUCCAGUCCAAUAAAACUUUAUAUAUGUAUAAAACUUUCAUGCAGAAGUAAGAUUUGUAUACAUCAAUUGCCAUUAAUAUUAUUUUGUAAUAACUUUCCAGUCUUUUUUUCUCAGUCUUCUUUCUUAUUUCAAAUGUCUGCAGAAUAAUGUUCUCCCACGUGUGUCUACAUAUCAUAGUUUUCUUAACCAUUCCUCUCUUUUUUUUUUAGUUUUGAAGUUAGAAUUGGUCUAGUCUUUUUUUUUUUGCUAUCAUAAACAGCAAUGCUAUACACAUUUUUUAUGCAAAGAGCUAUUUUCUUCUUUUGAACUAUUCUUUAGAAUAUAUUCCCAGGAGUAAAACUUCUGGCCAAAGAGUAUGCAUUAAAGCCAUAUGAUUUUGAGAAUGUACAUGUUAGUCACUGAAAAAUACUGUACUCAAAAGUAACUUGAAAAUGUCUAAUAUGCCAGACUGCAUAUCAUAUACCAAGAUAGCUACUACUCUUUCCCCAAAACAAUCAUAGCACCAUUUGCAGUGCAUAAUAAAGUUAUGAAUAAGAAAAUAUUAUUUAUUCUUGUCUUAAGAGAAAAUGUUGUGUAAAAUAUAUUUCAUUAUGCUCUAAAAUUGGCAUCCCUGUUUUCACACAUUUAAACCAUUUUAAUAUUUUAAAAUUGAGUAAAAGUUUCAACUUCUACAUCAUGGCAUCCAAUGCUUUGUAAAACUGGUUAGUUUCAUUUCAUUGCUCUUUUGUUAAAAUGUGAAUACCACUUUAAAAAUCAAAUUGUUCAUUAAUGUAAAACAAUCAACUUUUAAAGUCCGUAUAUCCCUUUUUAGUUAUCAUCAUUAUAAUUCUACUAGUUUAAUUCCUUUAACUCAACCCACCUCAUCAAUCAUUUAACUGAACUGUCCCAUUGACCAUUAUGAAAAUUUGGUGAUUGCUGCAAACCUGCAGCUUCCUGGAUCCCACGUCCAUGGCUGGAGAACGUAUGUUCCUGUGUGGGGCAGCCAGCACCGUCCUUGCUUUUUUUUUUUUUUUUUUUUUUUGAGAUGGAGUCUCACUCUGCCACCAGGCUAGAGGUCAGUGGUGUGAUCUUGGCUCACUGCAACCUCUGCCUCCCGGGUUCAAGCGAUUCUCCUGCCUCAGCCUCCCGAGUAGCUGGGACUACAGGCACGCACCACCGUGCCCAGCUAAUUUUUGUAUUUUUAGUAGAGACAGGGUUUCACCAUGUUAGCCAGGAUGGUCUCGAUCUCCUGACCUUGUGAUCUUCCCGCCUUGGCCUCCUAAAGUGCUGGGAUUACAGGCGUGAGUCACUGCGCCCGGCCCCCGUCCUUGCUUUUACCUGUUUCCCAAUUUCUCUUUUCCCUUCCUUCAUAUCUUUCAAACCCUGCCCCUCUUUUUACACACAAAUCAUCAGUUUUCUAUACUGUUCACAUCCUGAGGCCAGAAUCAAUCAAGACUUUUCGUAGCAGAGAAGUUGUGUGUGUCUUAUAAUGGCGAGUUUUAGAACUUUUCAAAGCUUACCUUUAACAAGAAUCACCUCCAUGUUAAUGUGGAUAACUAGGAGACAGUUUUGAGGAAAGCUGACUAAUUACAGUACUUGAAAUAGUUUAUUUUAAAGGCAUUUGACUAGUAGGGAAUGAGUAGCAAGAACAGUUAUCUAAGACGGCUCAUCUGCGUCUUUCUGUUUUGGGCGUUAAGCACCAUAUAACCUUGGGGAUGCCUCAGCUUCCCUAUCUCUGAAAUCAAUGAGUUGGACAAGAUGAGGGUUAAUCGGGUCCCCUCAGGGAUUCCAUGAAGGAUACACAUUUCCACAGAUGUAUUUCCUCUGCUGUGUAAAGGUGUCCGUCAUCAGUUUUACACAGAGAGCUGGGACACUGACAUUGAUUGGUUAAUUCUCAUGUGUCUCGGUCACGUAAAAAAAAAUAAUGGUUACAAUUCAACUCCAUUUUGCAGAAUGGUAAACCAAAACCCAAAGAUACUGGAUAAUUUCUUAAUACGACAAAUAGGUAAAAAACAAACAGAAAAAGAAACAAAAUGGUAAUUUCGAUGUGCACGCUAUUGCAUGAAAGAUUACUAUGAUGGACUACUUGGCCUACCUUGGCUAAAAUCAGCAUCUUAAUUUUGACGCUGAGGUAGGUGCAAAUGUCCUAUAAGGUGAUGUAAAUAGAUUAUCUGGGGAGACUGUCUUUCGCCCUUUCCCCUUGGUGAUGUAACUCAAAUGGCAAGUCGCUUAAGCAGAGAUUUGUAAUGCAGCUGCACUCUGUCGCCACCUAGUGGUGAGCAAUGGCAGCAACAAGCUGAGAGUUGUUUCUGCUUUAUCUGCCCCUUUUUAUCCAAGUUCCCAAGGCUGGAAAAAUUUUAAAAGCCUAUUUUAAAGGCCGCAGAGUGAUGUGGAAUAGACAGUCAUCUGUUUUCCUAACCAUGUUCUUCCCUCCCCACGUUUUAAAUUUUUGAGAAAGCAUCCCUUGUAAAGCCACCAGCAUUUUUGGUCCGUGUCCAUUUCUAUUUUGACUAUCUGUGCAGGCAUUUCCAUUUCCCCUAACUUCUUAGCAGUUUUAAGAUAAAUAUAGAACAAUAUACACUUGUGACAUUCAGAGAGGCUUACAUGAGCUGAACCUAGAAAGAUGGCUUUCAACUGACACAUUACAAUCACUGUGCUGGGCAUUUUGAACAAGAAUUAUAUUAUGCUUAUAUUUCCUUGAUGAAUCUUAAGAGUAGAACAAGAGAAAAAUCCAGUGAAGCAUGCUGCGGUUUUCAUCGUAUCCUAAAUAUGUAUUUUUUUCUGUAGCCCUGACUAUGUAAGUAUUUUUCUGUAGCUAUUUUUUAAUGUUGUCAAAAACGGAUACAAAAGAGACAAGUUUUAAACACAUGCUAAUUUCCAAAGCCAGAACCAAUCACAAGUUGCUGUUCAUAAGGAAGCUGGUUUGAAACAUCAUGGAGUCUGUAACAUCAGUAAAAUAUAUACUUUCCGAUCUUAGUGAGCUACAGUCUGUUGAAAAGCCGUCUAAUUUAUCAAAGCUUCUGCAGUUAUCUCUGGAGGAUUAGCUAUAUUUAGUAUCAAAUAAUUCUUAAAGAAGGAUUGACUGUUACUUUAAACACUAAUGCAAAAAAAUCUCUGAAAGCAAUAUAAGCAGUGCUAAAGUGUUUUUAUCUUUUUUUAUAAAAUAUUAGUUGUCAUAUUUGCCCACCAGAAUUCGAUGAAAUUCUCCUAAUAAUACCACGUUUAUGUUUCUAGAGGCUUAUUUUUCCUUCUUAAAUUAUGAAGGUAAAACACAACUUUGCAUAAAUCUAAAAAAAUAGAAUAUUUAUGGUUCACACAAACACACGUGUAAUCUGACAUACAAAUACAUAAUGUAAAAAUCAGGCAAAAAAUAAAAAAAAAACCUUAAGGGGAACACAAGCAUACCAUCUCGUGGACCCACAGGAGGGUUAUAGAUGGGUCCUUUUCACUGCAAAAGAAGCUUAUGUUUUGCUUUGGCUCUGGAAGGCCAUUCGGGGGAGUCUAAGAGUCUCUACAAAUUGGCAUUUCUGUCUCUAUGGCAACACAAAGCUCUGCCUCAGCAACAAAAUGAGGUCUUCCUAUGCAAUGCAAAAAGCACAAAGUGGCAUGAAUGCAGAAUAAUAUCGACUUUUCUUUAGAAAUAAAAAAUGAAGACUUCUGUGAAAUCAAGCCCUUGAGAACUUCUUGAAAUGCAGAAGCACGGCCAUGCGAUAGGCCAGUCAAGGUUGAAUCCGGGUCCAUUAAAACAGAAAUGAGGAAAGGAAUCCUGACUUAUGUCCAGAUGAAAAUUUCCAAACUCCUUGGCUGCAUUCCUUAGAAUUGAUAGUAAGUACCAUUUAGAGUCCAUGUAUUUUAAAGUACUGUAGAUACUAUGGAACGAAGUAGCUAAGGGAAAGUAAUUUGACCUUUAAGUUCAAUCAGAGCUGGCAAGAAAUAGGAAGUGGAUAGAAUCCAGACAGCAGUAUGGGGACAAAAGGCAGACUGAGAGGAUGUAGUGCACAUCACCAGAGAAACAGAAGAUGUUAGACAAGAAUCAUGGAUUUAAAAAAAAUCCAAAUUGAAUGACACAGAAGCAAACAUGACCGGAAGUGUGUGAGUUCGGCACUGUAGAUGCUUGGCAACAGUUUUUUCUUUGCAGGAGAAACGGUGACUAGAAAGCAGUGAUUUAGUGUAGAACCAUGAGACAGAUGUAGACCACAAAACACACGACACUCUUAUUUGUAGAGUAGAGAAUCUGACCAUGUCUUUGUGGAGUUUGGAAACCUCACACACACCUAAAAGGGAAGCACAUCACCAGGUGGUCGCUUCAUCUUCAGGGUGUCUCCAGCCUCACUUUAAGGCCAGUUCACAGCAAAGACAACUAAGGAAGAGCCAGCCCUGGGGGCGGGGGAGGUGGCCAGGAUGCCUGCCACAAAGUGGGGGCAUGCUGACCCUACCCUGUGGGAACCGCUGAGCCCUCUGACAGGUGAGCCGCAGAAUCUCCUAGACAUCACUGGGCUACGAGGAGGCUUACCCAGGACACAUAUCUCGCUUUUUACGUCAGCCUGGAAAAUGUACAAGAAGUUAGUUAGCUCUCAUCUUCGUCACACAGACUUCAGGAGGAGCUUUCCUGGCUGGCUUUUUCCAUGCACACACAGCAUGCCAAACUCCUGCACAACAGCAGGGCAGGGAGGGUCCACAGCUUCUCCAGCUGCUUAUACAGUUUCCACACCACAGGCACCAGCUGCCAUCUUAACAUGGCACCCACAGGCACAGCAGAAAAAGGUUCACAGAGGAAAGCUGGCAUAGGGAAGAGGCCAAGAACAUAUAAGAAAUGUUAUAUCUUUUUUUGUCUUUUAUUUUUUUGAGACGGAGUCUGGCUCUGUCGCCCAGGCUGGAGUGCAAUGGCACAGUCUCGGCUCACUGCAACCUCCAUCUCCCGGGUUCGAGCGAUUCUCUUGUCUCAGCCUCCCGAGUAGCUGGGAUCACAGGCACCCGCCACCAGGCCCAGCUAAUUUUUGUAUUUUUAGUAGAGACAGGAUUUCACCAUGUUGGUCAGGCUGGUCUUGAACUCCUGACCUCAAGUGAUCUGCCUGCCUCGGGCUCCCAAAGUGCUGGGAUUACAGGUGUCAGCCACUGCGCCCGGCCAAGAAAUGUUAUGUCUUUCAUAGAAUGCUUAGCAAUUGGGUUCAAGAUGCUCUCAAACCUGCCCUGCUUUUUCAUCUUAUUGAAGGGAUGCAAGGUGAGAUAGAGGAGAAUUUGGCUUAAUGCCUGUCAAAUUUCAUGGACUGUAUCAGACAUUUGUUGGAGGCAAAAUUUUCUAACACAUAAGAAGAAAAUAAGGCCUUUUUGGGGGGAAACAUGGUGAAAUUUGAUGAACUACUGAAGUGCCAACCUGUGGGCUGGACUGUUUUGGUGUUUUUUUUUUAUUUUCAGAGUAAGAUCUUUCAUAUGACAGUGAGUAAGCUGACCUUCUUUUGUGUAGGUUUUAUUUUCCUUCCAAUAGCGGACAGGAUCUGGCAGUGUACUGCCUGGUAUUUGAUCUGGCUUAAGAGAACUUCCGGAGGAAUAAAACACGCUUAAAUAAAAGCAUGUGGUUUUCUCAACUCUCAUUUAGAAAAGUUUUCCUAAUUCUCAGUAAUGAUUGACCUCAAAUCCCCAGCCUCUCGGGAUGAAAUGUGUUUGGCACCGUUGCUUAAGUGUCGUGGCAGACGAUGCUUGAUGCUCUCCACAUCCAUUCUCUUCUUGGUCCUCAGUAAUGGGGCCAGGCUGUUGGGUAGGCACAUGGCCAUUCUGGAUAAAGACCACAUUUCCUGACUUGUAGCUGGAUGUACUCAUGUCAUAAGCUGAGACCGAGGGGAUAUAUGCAAUUCUGGGACUUGGCCUUCAAGGGAGAAGGUGUAAUCUCCCAUCUUUUCUCCUUCCUGCUGGUUCGUGUGAGAAGGGAACUACUCGAGCUGCCACCUGGGACCCAUAGCGGAAGCUUCUCUCUGAGGAUGGCGAUGAGCCCACAUCAGAUGGAAACUCCUGGGUUCUCUGAUGACUGCGGGGCCACCAUACCAGUCCCGGACACCCUUCAUUUAUGUUAUCUUUAGGUUAAAUACCAGCGGAACUGUCAGCCUGCAAGUCUCAGAGAUGGAUGCUUUGUGAAGUGCUACAAAAGGAUGAUCCUUCCCACAUCCUCAUGAAUUUACGUCACUUUUGUGGAAGAACAAGGCUCAAGACAGUCAAUGCCAAAGAUCAUCCUGUCUCCAGGCUCUGCUGAACCUGCCGAUCGGUGGGAAAUGACGGGAGACAAUGAGUCCACUGAGAGGUGAUGGAGAAUGGCAGGCACUGAGCUAAGAUACCUUAAAUGUGAUGCUUCUCAUGCUGACGGCCAACUGAAAACAAUCUCAUCAUUACUUCUUAUUAUGAUAUACAUUUUAAUUUGUUUUUCUCCUCAAUCUGGGUAUAGCUGCUAUGCAAAUAUGUCUUUUAAAUGUUUGGAUAGAGGCCACGCCCAUGAUGUUAAAAGUUAGCAAUCAGUAUUUAUGUAACUUCGUAGGUCUUGUGAGAGGGCGCAAAUCUGAAUGCAUACAUCUUACUAAUUAAGCUCAUUGAAGACAUGCAAUAAACCACACUCAAGAUGCAGUUACCUUUAAUUUUGGUGGAUUGAUCUCCUGUUGAUAAGAAUAUUUAGGGAGGAGAGGAGGUGAGCAGGGCUGAGAAAGUGUAGAGUCCAGGUCAGAAACAGAGGCGAAGAGAGAAUGAAAUGGAGGGGAGGAAAGCAGGUGGCUGGGAAAGGGUGUGGGUGCUUGCUCUCCCGAAGAAAAUGACGGAGGCUUAAAUAUCGAGGAAAGACGAGAGGUGAUUAUGCUUGUCUCAGAAUGAGGUUACAUGCUCUUUACGGAAUUUCCUCUCAACUUCCAACAUUUUAAAGUUACUAAUAACCUUGGGAAGUUAUAUUUAUGACAAAUUUUUUGCUUUGAAACCACUAACUUCCUCUUUUGAAUUUGAUUCAAAAUCCCCAAUGGUAUGAUCAGUUUAAUUUUUCGCAUGGGGGUGGCUGGAGAUAGGAACACCUAUAUUCUAUCAUUUUCUCAUAUAUUUAUAUGAUGGCUCCUUCUAAAAGUGAAGGAAAAAAGUAUUUAAAACCCUGCAAUGACUGUAACUUGCGUGUAAAGUAGGUUGCCAACUAUAGUCAGCGUGUCACAAAGCUGGGGAAGCCGUGGCCCCGCGUGCAGGGUGUGAGCUGGUGCUGGGAUGAGCCGGCCUAGGGUACUGUCUGUGUCAGCAAAGCCACACAUCUAAUCACACCUUCAGAUUGAUUGAAUUGAAAGGAAUAUUAGUUACUGAAAUAAUUGAUGUAGAGACACGUUUGGCUCCUUGCAAUGAAUUAUCUAUCUGUUAUUAAAUAAGGUGUUUGUUUUACACAAAUGCAGGCCUGGCCGGGUUAUUUUGAAAUACAGGAACUAUGAAAGAAUUUGACUUGGAUAGUAGCGUAAUAGGAACCAUCCUUUCUGUUAUUUCAUAAUUUCUAUAAUUGCCAGUAAUUAUACUUGCUUCUUAAUUCACAGGGUACAUUUGUGGGAUCAAGUUUCUUUUUAUUUUUGAAAUGGAGUUUUGCUCUUUUUGCCCAGAACGGAGUGCAGUGGCACAACUUCAGUUCACUGCAACCUCCGCCUCCCGGUUUGAAGCAGUUCUCCUGCCUCAGCCUCCCGAGUAGCUGGGAUUACAGGCACCCAACACCAUGUCUGACUAAUUUUUGUAUUUUUAGUGGAGAUGGGGGUUUUACCAUGUUGGACAGGUUGGUUUCGAACUCCUGACCUCAGAUGAUCCACCAGCCUUGGGCUCCCAAAGUGCUGGAUUACAGGCGUAAGCCACCGCAGCUGGCCUUAAGUUUCUCUUUUUUUUUGAGAUGGAGUCUCGCUCUGUCACCCAGGCUGGAGUGCACUGGCACGAUCUCAGCUCAUUACAACCUCCUCCUCCCGGGUUCAAGUGAUUCUCCUGCCUCAGCCUCCCGAGUAGCUGGGAUUGUAGGCACCCACCACCACGCCUGGCUAGUUUUUGUAUUUUUGGUAGUGACGGGGUUUCACCAUGUUGGCCAGGCUGAUCUCAAAUUCCUGACCUCAGGUGAUCUGCCUGCCUCGGCCUCUGGAAGUGCUGGCGUUGCAGGCUCGUUUUUUGUUUUAAGAGAGAGGUUUGCAAGCUAAAGUUUCUGGAUAUUUUCUGCCUUUGUUGAUUAAAACCACUGUUCAAGAUUCUUCAUAACAUGAAGAUACAGUACCCAGUUCUUAAGUAGUCAAUGUGAAGUCAACACAAAGAGAACGACCUCUUUAGAAAAUCGAAAGGGGACAGAAGUGCUGUUUUUCUUUUCUGUUGUCUUUGUUUAUUAUUAGCAUUAUUAUUUUUGCAAAGUGCCGUUAUGUCAAAGGUAUGGUGUACAGUUUCUCAUCCUGGAAUAGGACAAAUUUCUGGGCAUCAACUUCCUCUUCUCUAAAGUGGGGAUGAUAAUGUCACACACCUCACUGGGUUUUGACGAUUAAAGAUGUGGAGUUUUUAGAAUAGUGUCUGAUACUCAGUAAGAGCUCCACUAUUAGCUAUCAUUGUUAAUAUUGGAAGAUUACAAAGACUAUAUCAAUUACAAAGACUUUUACAAUAUAAGUUUAUGGUCCUGAAGAAAAAUGGGAUAAUGGAAUUAUAUCACAUAUUUACAUCAUUUAAUUAAAUAUGGUGUGUUUUCAUAUACCCACUCCACCCCCAUCUUAUAUAGUAUUUGUGUUUUUUGUUUAAAAAAAUCUGUUAGUCAAAAUAGGUAUUUAUUAAUAUGAUUAACUCUAAUAGCUAAUCAUGGUAAGGCCGGUUAGUUCUUCCAUAAUCAGACAAAAUUAAAAUACCUCAUUACUGGGUUUUGCUGCAUUGCUGUCCUCCUUGGGGGUCCUAGGAUCUGUGGGGGUGGCUAUGGGGUGUUUUAGGCAGUUGGGUUUCUCCUCCUCCUCCUCCUCUUCAAUGUGCAGGUGUGGGGUGCCCUCUGACCCAUCGUGGCCACACCACCAGGCGUCUCCUUCCUGAGGUUCUGGCGGCCCUCUCUGGAUGCCUGACACAAUCCCCUCAUAGAUGCCCUCAUCUUCCUCUCCAAUGACCGGAAGGGGUACAGGCAAGGAACCCACGCUGGUGCACGCAGAGGCCACAAAAUUAUCCCCUAGGACUUCUGGUGCCUUUUUAGGGUCUGAGAAGCCCCUUCUCAUUUUUCUCAACUCUGCAAAGUUGCUUUGAGUUGUCGUUCUGGGAUCCUGAAGAGGCUCUGCAUGGUAAGGCUGGGCUGCAGCCGAGGCCACACCCGCGUGAGUGGAAGGUGAUUCGGCAGGUGCAGUCGCUGGGGACAAUGGGAGGAGGACAGCAGGUUCCUCCUUAAUUUCCAGGAUGGCGU